GGUAGGUGGGGGCAAGGGGGGGGGGUAAUAGGGAGGGGGCCAGUGUUGUUCGGAAUGACGGGGGGGAGAGAGGGCGCAGGCGGUUUAGUAAGUCUGAUGGGAAAUCCCUAGGCUUAACUUGGGGGGUGCAGUGGAAACUAGGAAAGUAGGGUGUGGGAGAGGGUGGUGGAAUUCCAGGUGUAGCGGUGAAAUGCGUAGAUAUCAGGAGGAACACCAGUGGCGAAGGCGACCACCUGGACCAUAACUGACGCUGAGGCACGAAAGCGUGGGGAGCAAACAGGAUUAGAUACCCUAGUAGUC
Molecule: ribosomal RNA, 300 nt
Filed under: uncultured Dietzia sp.
Lineage: Bacteria; Bacillati; Actinomycetota; Actinomycetes; Mycobacteriales; Dietziaceae
Description: partial 16S ribosomal RNA
Rfam family: Bacterial small subunit ribosomal RNA (bases 52-300)
Source: RNAcentral